RNAcentral lists this transfer RNA (73 nucleotides) under Dipodomys ordii (Ord's kangaroo rat). It matches the Rfam family "tRNA". From Rfam's summary of the family: Transfer RNA (tRNA) molecules are approximately 80 nucleotides in length. Their secondary structure includes four short double-helical elements and three loops (D, anti-codon, and T loops). Further hydrogen bonds mediate the characteristic L-shaped molecular structure. tRNAs have two regions of fundamental functional importance: the anti-codon, which is responsible for specific mRNA codon recognition, and the 3' end, to which the tRNAs corresponding amino acid is attached (by aminoacyl-tRNA synthetases). tRNAs cope with the degeneracy of the genetic code in two manners: having more than one tRNA (with a specific anti-codon) for a particular amino acid; and 'wobble' base-pairing, i.e. permitting non-standard base-pairing at the 3rd anti-codon position. Lineage: Eukaryota; Metazoa; Chordata; Mammalia; Rodentia; Heteromyidae. The record is from Rfam by way of RNAcentral.
GGCGAUAUGGCUCAGGUUGUAGAGUGCCUGCCUAGCAAGUACAGAGUCCUGAGUUCAAACCCCAGCACUGCCA